This is a long non-coding RNA of Canis lupus familiaris (dog), 760 nucleotides long. RefSeq lists it as uncharacterized. The transcript is spliced from 3 exons. The record is from RefSeq and is a predicted model, not a curated record. Lineage: Eukaryota; Metazoa; Chordata; Mammalia; Carnivora; Canidae.
GGAAUCUUUUAUUCUGUAGUUCACCAGAAUGUUCUACUUUUUAUUUCUCCUCUUCCUUGGAUGAUGACUGUGGGCCCCAGGUGCCAAACUGUGGAACAUAAUUGUCUACUGAUGGUGACAUCUGCUGGUUUUUCCACACUGGGAUCUGUCUGUGGGUGACCUCUGAGUCAUUUGCUAGAGGCAAAGGCUUCCAUUUUCUUUGCGUAGUGGUAACCAGAGAAGGAUGUGGAUAUUGCUCAAAGAGAAAAAAUGCCCAAGCUCUGCAUCAAAGGCAAGCUGCUGAUUGCUAAGGAUGUGGUACAAGAGCAAGCCAAUCAUUGAUUAUAAGAAAAGGGGAAGGCUUCCAGCUAGUUAAUGAAGCAACCUGCUAACAGUUUUCGGGUUGGAAAAAGUGAUCAAGGACUUUCUUUUACACAAACAGCAUCAUUUGAUUGUUCUCACUCUCUCAUCAUCAGAAGAUUUGUGCAAUACAGUGAGAUGUUGUAGAAAGAGCCUGCAUGGGAUUUGCCAUUAGACCUGGGGCUGGGUUCCAGUUCUAUUCACUCAGUGCUUAUAAAACUUUGAGCAAGCCAAGCUUGCCAAGCCUCAGUAUCCUCACUUAAAAAACAAGAUUAACAGUAGUCACCAGUUCACCUGCUUAUUGUAAAAACUUCAGAUCUGUCAAAGGGCACUGUGAGCUAAAAAUAUCCUAAAUUAUCUAUGCAAAUAUCCAGUAAUAACUAGAGGGGAGGUGCUGAGAACCAGAAGUUUGCAUUUUUAA